GUGCUCGCUUUGGCAGCACAUAUACUAAAAUUGGAACGAUACAGAGAAGAUUAGCAUGGCCCCUGUGCAUAAAAUGCGCUUCUGUUUGGAACCAGAAAAAUUG
Molecule: small nuclear RNA, 103 nt
Organism: Hyaena hyaena (striped hyena)
Lineage: Eukaryota; Metazoa; Chordata; Mammalia; Carnivora; Hyaenidae
Source: RefSeq, a predicted model, not a curated record